UACGGAGGGUGCGAGCGUUAAUCGGAAUUACUGGGCGUAAAGGGUGCGUAGGUGGUUUGAUAAGUUAUCUGUGAAAUCCCCGGGCUUAACCUGGGAAGGUCAGAUAAGACUGUGAGACUUGAGUAUGGGAGAGGGUAGUGGAAUUUCCGGUGUAGCGGUGAAAUGCGUAGAGAUCGGAAGGAACACCAGUGGCGAAGGCGGCUACCUGGCCUGAUACUGACACUGAAGCACGAAAGCGUGGGGAGCAAACAGGAUUAGAUACCCUGGUAGUCCACGCCGUAAACGAUGUCAACUAGCUGUUGGUCAUAUGAAUGUGAUUAGUGGCGAAGCUAACGCGAUAAGUUGACCGCCUGGGGAGUACGAUCGCAAGAUUA
RNAcentral lists this ribosomal RNA (374 nucleotides) under uncultured prokaryote. RNAcentral describes it as "bacterial SSU rRNA". It matches the Rfam family "Bacterial small subunit ribosomal RNA", at positions 524 to 896 of the family's 1533-position model. The record is from RNAcentral.